AGAGAGAGAAAGUUGUUGUUCUUCCUCGAUUCCAAAUUCAAUUUCACAUUUUAAUAAAUAACUGAUUUUGCUCUUUGGUUUGAUUUAAAACAUUUAAAAAUUAGAUUUAGGAUGUUGAGAGUUUGGAGGUGAAAGUGGAACUUGGAAAGGUAGAGGUGUUGUUGUUUGGACUUAAGCGAAGGGAUUGUUGGAUUGGGUUGAAGUUGUGGUUAUGGUGGCGGUGGAUGUCACUAGUGAUGUUACGGAGAAAGAAGAAGAAAGGUUGUGUAGCGUCUGUUUCUCAGUGUGAGAGAUAGAGCAGAUAAGUGGGAUUGAAGAGUGACAAAGAAGAAAUGGGUAAGAUGUACUGUUAUUUAUUUUCUGAAUUAUGUAUGAAGGCGAUGAAUAUUAAUGAACAUCAUGAUGAACAAGAAGAUGGG
Molecule: long non-coding RNA, 419 nt
Filed under: Medicago truncatula (barrel medic)
Lineage: Eukaryota; Viridiplantae; Streptophyta; Magnoliopsida; Fabales; Fabaceae
Description: long non-coding RNA (MTRU_LNC005293)
Source: RNAcentral